AUGAAUGCCAGUACCAGUGUUUCUCUGGGUGCCAUGAGACCCCUACUUAAGAAGCUUGACAUGAUGCUAGGUCCUCAUGGAUGCAAGCUGACCAAGGGGGUCAAUGAUAGGUCGCAGCUCCUCAGAGAUGAUCUUGAAGAAAUAGGUGCAUACCUUGAAGAUUUGUUAGAGGUGGAAGACCCGCCCCUAGUGGCCAACUGCUGGACGAAAGAGGCGCGGGAGUUAUCUUAUGACAUCCAAGAUUGUAUUGACAACUUUGUGCCCCCUGAGUCUCUUGGGUACAAAUCUGGCCACAAGAUGACUCAUGUUAAGAUUCCCAAGAGGCUCAAGUGGCAGAAACAGAUUGAAUAUGCAGCUCCUGAUGUGUCAGGACAUUUUAUCUCCAAAACCAUUCGUGUUGAUGUCAUUCGUGCUCCCAGGAAGCUCAAGUGGUACCAGCAGAUAGUUGAAAAGGUAUCAGAAUUCAGGAUCUAUGCCCGGGAGGCGAUCCGACGGUACGAGAGGUACCAACUCCAUUGUUGUAGCACCUCGGCGGCACGUAGAUUUUCAGCCAUUGGGCCUAUAAUGCCAAUGUCGCCAAUGCCUUGUGAGAAAACUUGUUCCGGCCUAGUAAUUGAUGGUCGGAUGAGCAAGUUUAUCAACUCUUUGUCUAACGACGCGGAUCAGCAGCUCAAGGUGGUGUCUAUUCAUGGAUCUGGAUAUCUUGGUAAAACAAUGCUUGCCAAAGUGUUGUACAAUAAACUUGGGAGGAAAUUCCAUUGUCGGGCUUUCGUCCGGGUGUCCAAAAAGCCUGAUAUGAAGAGGCUUUUCCGCGACAUGCUAUCACAAUUCCAGCGGAAGCAGCCCGGAGGAAGCCAAGACGUUUCCGAUGAACUUCGUGUUACUGCUGAAAAUAUCAGGAAUUAUCUACAUGGCAAGAGGUAUCUAAUUGUUGUAGAUGAUUUAUGGGAUACAUCAGCAUGGGAUGUUAUUAAUCAGGUUUUUCCCAAGGGUAUUCAAGGCAGCAGAAUAAUAACAACUACACAGAUUGAAGAUGUUGCAUUAGCAUGUGGCUGCAAUCACCCAGAACAAGUUUUUGAGAUGAAACCUUUGGAUGAUGAUCACUCAAGGAAGCUAUUCUUUGGCAGGAUUUUUGGUACUGAAAGUGAUUGUCCUGAAGAAUUCAAACAAGUUUCAGGCCAAAUUAUAGAGAUAUGUGGUGGUUUGCCACUAGCGACGAUCAGCAUAGCUAGUAUUUUGGCAAACCAGCCUUCCUUAUCAAUGGAUUUAUUCACACGCAUACAUGAUUCAUUAAUCUCCUGUUUACUGUCAAAUUCCAGUCCAGAAACAACGAGACAAGUAUUGAAGCUCAGCUAUAACAGCCUUCCUCACUACCUCAAGACAUGUUUGCUGUAUUUUAGUAUGUAUCCAGAGGGCUCCAUACUGUUCAAACAUGACCUGGUCAGGCAAUGGGUGGCUGAAGGGUUUCUUACUGCAAGUGAAGGACAAAAUAUGGAAGAAGUUGCAGGAAUGUAUUUCGAUGAACUUGUUGACAGAAGAUUCAUCCGACCUAUGUCUAUCAACUUCAACAAUGAGGUGGUGUCCUGCACAGUUCAUGCCCUGGUGCAUGAUCUUAUUGCACACAAGUCUGCACAAGAGAAUUUCGUUGUGGUAGUAGAUCACAAUCGAAAGAUUUUGGCACUUUCUCAUAAGGUACGUCGACUGUCUCUCCAACUUGGUGAUGCAAAUUAUGCCAAGAUACCAGCAAACAUCAGAAAGUCACAAGUACGGUCACUUGUAUUUUUUGGAUUGGUGGAGUGCAUGCCUUGUAUUGGAGAGUUCAAGCUUGUUCGUGUUCUGAACCUUCAGCUAUCUGGCCAUCAUAAUGGCGACCAAGACCUGUCCAUAGACCUCUCUAGAGUAUCAGAACUGUUCCAGCUGAGAUAUCUGAAGAUUGUUUGUGAUGUCUGCAUAAAGCUUCCAAACCGUAUGAGAGGGCAGCAGUGUUUGGAAACACUGGAUGUUAUGGAUACACCAAGAGGCACUUAUGUUCCAUGGGACAUUAUAUAUCUCCCACGCUUGUUGCACCUCAGUCUUCCUCCUCACACAAAUCUGCUGGAUUGGUCUGUCGGUGACGAUCUGAGCCUUUGCAAGCCGAACCACCUGCAGGAUCUUUGCAUUUCUACACCGCCUUCUUCAGAUUCCGACCAUCUGGAGAGGAGCAUGGAAGCUCUGGAUUAUUUAAUGUAUGAGCAUGACAGCCUGAAAACUGUAAAACUGGUGGCUCACGGAUCCUCGGUUAGCUAUGGUGACGCUUCAAAAGAAAGAGCUGGCUGGAUGUUGGAUAAACCAAACCACCAUAUCCAUAGAUUUGAGGUCUCACCUCACAGCCCCGUCAUAUUUGGUUGUAUGGAUUUGUGGACGAACCAAUUUCCCAACCUAUGCAUUCUGAAGAGUGCAGUGGAUGGACUGUCAGUAUAUGAUGUUGAUUUUCUUGGAGGGUUGCCUGCCCUCACUGCUCUGUCGUUGUAUGUGGAGACGGCGCCUAGAAUGAAGAUCAUCUUUGACAAAGCCAGGUUCCCAGUUCUCAAGUACUUGAAGCUGAGGUUCACGAGUGGUAUAGCUUGGCUAAAUUUUGAAGCGGAUGCAAUGCCUAAUAUCUUGAAGCUCAGACUCGUUUUCAGUUCCAUCCCCCGAAUGGACCAACGACUUAGUCUUUUUUCGCAAUCUGACCAGUGGAAACAAUAUCAACAUGGUAGUGCAUUAAUCAGCAUCGACCAUAUGACAGGCCUUAGAGAAGUCUCCGCAAAAUUUGGAGGUGCAGCUGCUGAUCUGCAGUAUGUCUCGAGGAUCGGCGCAGUUAUUAAUCAUCCGGGAAAUCCUGUAAUAGGCAUGCAAUUAGUUGACUCUGGUUCCUAUUGUGAGGAAAGCACAGCCAUCACAGGAGUCUUCUUCGCGCCUGCAUCCUCCAGGUCCAGAUGGUGGAGAGCAGCAGGUUGUGGUAUCUUGGAGCCAUACCAUUGA
RNAcentral lists this ribosomal RNA (3003 nucleotides) under Triticum aestivum (bread wheat). RNAcentral's name for it is "partial small subunit ribosomal RNA". Lineage: Eukaryota; Viridiplantae; Streptophyta; Magnoliopsida; Poales; Poaceae. The record is from RNAcentral.